GUCUUUCUCACCAACAUGAAGACCUCAACUGUUUGUUCCAUGCAUGAACCAAGGCGACAGCAGCUUUCAGGGUUUUACAGUGCAACUGUGUCACAGCAGCUGGAGGAAGCAUUAAACCAGUUUUUGAGUGGGCGUUCCCUGCUUUGGGCUGGCAGUGAGGAUCUUCAGCAAUGCCUCCCGAUGGUAAUUGCCCAGAUUUUGUUGCACGUGCACCAGCAGAAGUGGGAAGACCUGUGCUUUAGGAAAAAGCUCGCAGUUUUUAUGCUGUAUUGUAAAAGCCUGCAGUGUAGCUCUCCCUGCUACCAAACAGAAAUCUGUAAACAUCAAGAAGCAUUGGCAUCAUUUUCAGCUCUGACUGCUUUGAAGGAUUAAAUUGAGAAUGUGUGCCGGAUGCCCUGGCACCAGAGAAGCUUUGAAACCUUCUCCUGUUUCUUCAACACCUGAUGGUGAUUGUUUGACUGGAGAUUUACAGCUGACCUGAAGCUCAAAGCUUUCAAGUAGCUGAAGUUACAGAAGCUUGAAAUGGUGCUGGAUUCACUGGAGUGAUAGUGUUAUCGUCAUCCCAUGGCUGCUGAACAGUGAAAUGAAAUGGUAAUUUCUGCAUUCCAGUCGUCAAACAUUCCUAUCACCAAAAACACCAACACAACUCAAAGAAAAAGUUAUUUAGAGGCCUUAUCUUCCGGAUAUGUUCAAGCUCUAACCACAUCAGUAACAUGUCUACCUUUAAUGGAAUAUCUCCUGUGAUAGUUUAUUGUACAUACAAGAACUUGCAAAAGGAAGGCCUCAGUUAUUCAUCUCUGAGGGGAAGCAGCUCAAGAAACUGUGAUCAGGGAAGAAAAGAGACUUCCUCCCCCUGUUCUCAGAGACAAUCCCAUCCCCUCAGGGCUGAGGAGAACUGAUGAAGCCAAAUGGUGUGCAGGGGCAUCUCUGCAAAAUGGGGCCUGUGCAGUAUUUUCUUUCACAGAAUGGCAGAAUCACAGCUGUUGUUGACAGGCACUGCUGGAGAUUGGCUAGUCCAACCCCCCUACUCAAGCAGGGUCAGCUAGAGUGGGCUGCUCAGGACCAAUCCCAGGCUUUGAAUAUUUCCAAGGACGGAGACCCUACCAUCUCACUGGAAAACCCGUGCCACUCACUGUUUGAUCACCUUCACAGUAAAAAAUGUUUUUCAUAUGUUCAGAGGGAACCUCCUGUGUUUCAGUUUGUGCCCACUGCCUCUUGACCGGUGAGGAGAAUCUGUCUCAGCCCUCCCCUCGACCUGCUGGCAACUCUGGCAAUACUCUGCCAAACUCAGCCCAGGGAGCUGGGGGCCUUCUUUGCACCGAGGACGCAUUGCUUUCAGUAAAGGUGAUAUGGGUCUGUCAAAAUCUGGGUUCCCUUCAGAGACUCUAAUUUCUCAGGCAUUAUGAAGGUCCUAAAUUGCACAUAAAACUCUGAAACACACCCUUAUCUGUCCCCCUGUCUCCCCUCCAUCCACUGUUCCAAAGAAACCAGUAGUACAUGAGAACCAAGAAAUAAAGAUGCAAGUUCUUUACA
Molecule: long non-coding RNA, 1533 nt
Filed under: Calidris pugnax (ruff)
Lineage: Eukaryota; Metazoa; Chordata; Aves; Charadriiformes; Scolopacidae
Description: lncRNA (ENSCPUG00000012357.1)
Source: RNAcentral